UACGGAGGGGGCUAGCGUUGUUCGGAAUUACUGGGCGUAAAGCGUACGUAGGCGGCUUUGUAAGUUAGAGGUGAAAGCCCGGGGCUCAACUCCGGAACUGCCUUUAAGACUGCAUCGCUUGAAUCCAGGAGAGGUGAGUGGAAUUCCGAGUGUAGAGGUGAAAUUCGUAGAUAUUCGGAAGAACACCAGUGGCGAAGGCGGCUCACUGGACUGGUAUUGACGCUGAGGUGCGAAAGCGUGGGGAGCAAACAGG
Molecule: ribosomal RNA, 253 nt
Filed under: uncultured bacterium
Lineage: Bacteria
Description: partial 16S ribosomal RNA
Rfam family: Bacterial small subunit ribosomal RNA
Source: RNAcentral